Molecule: long non-coding RNA, 295 nt
Organism: Frieseomelitta varia
Lineage: Eukaryota; Metazoa; Arthropoda; Insecta; Hymenoptera; Apidae
Exons: 3
Source: RefSeq, a predicted model, not a curated record
AACAAAUAAUUCGAAAACUGAAGUCCUUUCGUACAAAUAAUUUAAAUAUUUUUAUAGAUAGAAACGAAUCUGACUCACGUCGAUUUGAACUCAAAUCAUAUAAGAUUUUAAAAAGUCGAGCAGACUUAAUUAUUAAAUCUCUACAUUUAAAAUUUAAUUCUUGAUUCAACAUCGAGGUCGCAAUCACUUUUUUCUAUAAGAUCUACGAAAAAGUAUAACGCUGUUAUCCCUAAGGUAAUUUAAUGUAAUAAUUAUAAAUUAAAACUCGAAAUAUUUUCUUAGAUUAAAGUUUUUA